RNAcentral lists this ribosomal RNA (703 nucleotides) under Ligilactobacillus salivarius. RNAcentral's name for it is "bacterial SSU rRNA". It matches the Rfam family "Bacterial small subunit ribosomal RNA", at positions 11 to 683 of the family's 1533-position model. Lineage: Bacteria; Bacillati; Bacillota; Bacilli; Lactobacillales; Lactobacillaceae. The record is from RNAcentral.
GUUUGAUCCUGGCUCAGGACGAACGCUGGCGGCGUGCCUAAUACAUGCAAGUCGAACGAAACUUUCUUACACCGAAUGCUUGCAUUCACCGUAAGAAGUUGAGUGGCGGACGGGUGAGUAACACGUGGGUAACCUGCCUAAAAGAAGGGGAUAACACUUGGAAACAGGUGCUAAUACCGUAUAUCUCUAAGGAUCGCAUGAUCCUUAGAUGAAAGAUGGUUCUGCUAUCGCUUUUAGAUGGACCCGCGGCGUAUUAACUAGUUGGUGGGGUAACGGCCUACCAAGGUGAUGAUACGUAGCCGAACUGAGAGGUUGAUCGGCCACAUUGGGACUGAGACACGGCCCAAACUCCUACGGGAGGCAGCAGUAGGGAAUCUUCCACAAUGGACGCAAGUCUGAUGGAGCAACGCCGCGUGAGUGAAGAAGGUCUUCGGAUCGUAAAACUCUGUUGUUAGAGAAGAACACGAGUGAGAGUAACUGUUCAUUCGAUGACGGUAUCUAACCAGCAAGUCACGGCUAACUACGUGCCAGCAGCCGCGGUAAUACGUAGGUGGCAAGCGUUGUCCGGAUUUAUUGGGCGUAAAGGGAACGCAGGCGGUCUUUUAAGUCUGAUGUGAAAGCCUUCGGCUUAACCGGAGUAGUGCAUUGGAAACUGGAAGACUUGAGUGCAGAAGAGGAGAGUGGAACUCCAUGUGUAGCGGUG